UGGCUCGUAAGCUCAGUCGGCCAGAGCUCCCGGCUGCUUGUCGGGGCGCGCAGGUUCGAAUCCUGCCGAGUCUG
RNAcentral lists this transfer RNA (74 nucleotides) under Streptomyces mangrovisoli. RNAcentral describes it as "tRNA-Ser". It matches the Rfam family "tRNA". Rfam says of the family: Transfer RNA (tRNA) molecules are approximately 80 nucleotides in length. Their secondary structure includes four short double-helical elements and three loops (D, anti-codon, and T loops). Further hydrogen bonds mediate the characteristic L-shaped molecular structure. tRNAs have two regions of fundamental functional importance: the anti-codon, which is responsible for specific mRNA codon recognition, and the 3' end, to which the tRNAs corresponding amino acid is attached (by aminoacyl-tRNA synthetases). tRNAs cope with the degeneracy of the genetic code in two manners: having more than one tRNA (with a specific anti-codon) for a particular amino acid; and 'wobble' base-pairing, i.e. permitting non-standard base-pairing at the 3rd anti-codon position. The record is from RNAcentral. Lineage: Bacteria; Bacillati; Actinomycetota; Actinomycetes; Kitasatosporales; Streptomycetaceae.